GGUGAGUAACACGUGAGUAACCUGCCCUUGACUCUGGGAUAACCUCCGGAAACGGAAGCUAAUACCGGAUACGACGUACGGAGGCAUCUCCUGUACGUGGAAAGAACUUCGGUCAAGGAUGGACUCGCGGCCUAUCAGGUAGUUGGUGAGGUAACGGCUCACCAAGCCUACGACGGGUAGCCGGCCUGAGAGGGUGACCGGCCACACUGGGACUGAGACACGGCCCAGACUCCUACGGGAGGCAGCAGUGGGGAAUAUUGCACAAUGGGCGCAAGCCUGAUGCAGCAACGCCGCGUGAGGGAUGACGGCCUUCGGGUUGUAAACCUCUUUUAGUAGGGAAGAAGCGAAAGUGACGGUACCUGCAGAAAAAGCACCGGCUAACUACGUGCCAGCAGCCGCGGUAAUACGUAGGGUGCGAGCGUUGUCCGGAAUUAUUGGGCGUAAAGAGCUCGUAGGCGGUCUGUCGCGUCUGCUGUGAAAACCCGAGGCUCAACCUCGGGCCUGCAGUGGGUACGGGCAGACUAGAGUGCGGUAGGGGAGAAUGGAAUUCCUGGUGUAGCGGUGGAAUGCGCAGAUAUCAGGAGGAACACCGAUGGCGAAGGCAGUUCUCUGGGCCGUAACUGACGCUGAGGAGCGAAAGCGUGGGGAGCGAACAGGAUUAGAUACCCUGGUAGUCCACGCCGUAAACGUUGGGCGCUAGAUGUGGGGACCAUUCCACGGUUUCCGUGUCGCAGCUAACGCAUUAAGCGCCCCGCCUGGGGAGUACGGCCGCAAGGCUAAAACUCAAAGGAAUUGACGGGGCCCGCACAAGCGGCGGAGCAUGCGGAUUAAUUCGAUGCAACGCGAAGAACCUUACCAAGGCUUGACAUACACGAGAACGCCCUAGAAAUAGGGAACUCUUUGGACACUCGUGAACAGGUGGUGCAUGGUUGUCGUCAGCUCGUGUCGUGAGAUGUUGGGUUAAGUCCCGCA
This 972-nucleotide ribosomal RNA is filed under the name Leifsonia sp. MH5-7. RNAcentral's name for it is "bacterial SSU rRNA". It matches the Rfam family "Bacterial small subunit ribosomal RNA", at positions 105 to 1091 of the family's 1533-position model. Lineage: Bacteria; Bacillati; Actinomycetota; Actinomycetes; Micrococcales; Microbacteriaceae. The record is from RNAcentral.